Molecule: long non-coding RNA, 794 nt
Filed under: Phoenix dactylifera (date palm)
Lineage: Eukaryota; Viridiplantae; Streptophyta; Magnoliopsida; Arecales; Arecaceae
Description: long non-coding RNA (PDAC_LNC018181)
Source: RNAcentral
AGUAAAGAAGAGAUGUAUUCUUGUACCAAGAUUUGCAUUAAACACCAACCAAGAUGAAUAGGUAGGAGUAGAAAUAAUAGCAUUAAUUCUACCAACCAAUUUGUACUAGAGAAAAAAAACAAAUCUAUAUCUAACAUAAUCUUCACUGCUCCAGCAAAACAUGCGAUCAAAUCUGCAAUUAGCAAAAAAAUGAAAAAGAAUAAGUAUGAGAAUUAACUCUAUAUCAACUAAUAAAUUAUAUUUAGUAAUAAUGCUAAAAGUGAUCCAAAUAACUUAAAAGCAAAUAAAGUGCAAAAGUUAGGAUAUGUAUAUCCAACAUGUACCAAUCAAGAUUGUGGGUAGGUAUUAUCUUCUCUAACUAAAGCUUUCAUUCUCUUAGCUUGCUUGUGGGGUCGUCCUUUAUUUUUUUUCCUCUUGGUGCUACGAACACUGCAUGUGUGCCUCCUGAACAUGACAGUCUUCCUCUUGAACCAUUUCCCUUAGGCCUGCAAUAUUUUAAUGAUAACCAAGUGAUAAAACACAAACAUCAUUAAGUUAGAGUAGUGCUAUAUGUUACCUCCCAAGCUUCUUCGGUGCAUAAGAAGAGGACAUUGAAGCUUGAGAUUCCUCCACUACUGGAUUUUUGCAAGUUUUCGCAUGAUGCCCAAGAUCACCGCAACGCUUACAUUUGUGCAUCUUCUUCGAUGUAUUCUCAUCUGUACCCCUAAUUCUCUUCUUUUUAGGCCUUCCUGGAGGUCUUAGACUGAGCUUAGGAGGCAAUACCUUAUAUCCAAUAUCAACUUUUAUCCAUUGGG